This 253-nucleotide ribosomal RNA is filed under the name uncultured bacterium. RNAcentral describes it as "partial 16S ribosomal RNA". It matches the Rfam family "Bacterial small subunit ribosomal RNA", at positions 524 to 776 of the family's 1533-position model. The record is from RNAcentral.
UACGGGGGGGGCAAGCGUUGUUCGGAAUUACUGGGCGUAAAGGGCUCGUAGGUGGCCAACUAAGUCAGGCGUGAAAGCCCCGGGCUCAACCUGGGAAUUGCGCUUGAUACUGCGGCGCUGGAAGGUGGGAGAGGAUGGCGGAAUUCCCAGUGUAGAGGUGAAAUUCGUAGAUAUUGGGAAGAACACCGGUGGCGAAGGCGGCCAUCUGGCCCACAAUUGACGCUGAGGCGCGAAAGCGUGGGGAGCAAACAGG